This 741-nucleotide ribosomal RNA is filed under the name uncultured eukaryote. Its description in RNAcentral is "bacterial SSU rRNA". It matches the Rfam family "Eukaryotic small subunit ribosomal RNA", at positions 662 to 1426 of the family's 1831-position model. The record is from RNAcentral.
GCGGUUGGGUGUGCUGGUAUGAUUCUUCCCUCCUUCUAAACCGCCCCACCUGCUGUUCACUCAUCUGGGUGCUGUGCGAUAUAGAUCAUUUUACUUUGAAAAAAUUAGAGUGUUCAAAGCGCGCUUACCCCAUGAAUACUUUAGCACGGAAUAAUAAAAUAGGACUUCGGUUCUAUUUUGUUGGUGUCUGGAACUGAAAUAAUGAGUGAUAGGGAUAGUUGGGGGUGCUAGUAUUCCGCGGCCAGAGGUGAAAUUUUUGGAUUCGCUGAAGACUAAAUACUGUGAAAGCAUUCUCCAAGGAUGUGUUCUUUAAUCAAGAACGAAAGUUGGGGGAUAGAAGACGACCAGAGACCGUGGUAGUCUCAACCAUAAACUAUACCGAGUAAGGAUCAGUGGACGUCGUAUUUCGACUCCACAGGCACUUUAUGAGAAAUCAAAGUCUUUGGGUUCCGGGGGGAGUAUGGUGGCAAGGGUGAAAAUUAAAGGAAUUGACGGAAGGGCACCCCCAGGAGUGGAGCCCGCGGGUUAAUUUGACUCAACACGGGAAAACUCUCCAGGUCCAGACAUAGUGAGGAUUGACAGAUUGAAGAUCUUUCUUGAUUCUAUGGGUGGUGGUGCAUGGCCGUUCUUAGUUGGUGGAGUGAUUUGUUGGGUUAAUUCCGUUAACGAACGAGACCUCGACCUCCUAAAUAGUAAGCAGAAACCUCUGGCUUCGCGCUCACUCACUAGAGGGACGAUCGG